RNAcentral lists this ribosomal RNA (244 nucleotides) under uncultured bacterium. Its description in RNAcentral is "partial 16S ribosomal RNA". It matches the Rfam family "Bacterial small subunit ribosomal RNA", at positions 15 to 249 of the family's 1533-position model. The record is from RNAcentral.
GAUCAUGGCUCAGGAUGAACGCUAGCUACAGGCUUAACACAUGCAAGUCGAGGGGCAGCGGGAAGGAAGCUUGCUUUCUUCGCCGGCGACCGGCGCACGGGUGAGUAACGCGUAUCGAACCUGCCUCAUACUCGGGAAUAACCUUGCGAAAGUAAGACUAAUACCCGAUUGUUUUCAUCUCUUCGCAUGAAGAGUUGAACUAAAGUUUUUCGGUAUGAGAUGGCGAUGCGUCCCAUUAGCUUGG